AACGCACGAGACCUGCGGACCUGCGGAAGGAUCAUUAUAGAGUUUUUAACUCCCAAACCCAUGUGAACUUACCUUUGUUGCCUCGGCGGAGCCUACCCGGUACCUACCCUGUAGCGCCCCGCCGGUGGACUUCUAAACUAUUGUUAUUUUAAUGAUAUCUGAGAGUCUUAUUUUAAUAAGUCAAAACUUUUAACAACGGAUCUCU
This 205-nucleotide unclassified non-coding RNA is filed under the name soil metagenome. RNAcentral's name for it is "partial contains 5.8S ribosomal RNA, internal transcribed spacer 2, and large subunit ribosomal RNA". The record is from RNAcentral.